GUGCGUCUCAUGAGCCUUGUCUCCUUUCUCCUAAAAAGACUUCCCCUUUUGUGUAAAUGCCAUGCAUGUCCUUCUUUUCUUCUUUCUUUUUGAUCUUCUGCUCAGCGCUAUUUAGAUCUAUAUCAUAUCUGUUUGAUACUGCAUCCCACUCCAUGCACCAUCACGCACCUGAUUAUCAUGCCCCUUGAAUUGACUGCUUGGUUCAUUCGAAUCUGAGUCAAAUUGAGCCAGUUUGAUUAUAUGCACCUAAUCUCCC
RNAcentral lists this long non-coding RNA (256 nucleotides) under Elaeis guineensis (African oil palm). RNAcentral describes it as "long non-coding RNA (EGUI_LNC009709)". The record is from RNAcentral. Lineage: Eukaryota; Viridiplantae; Streptophyta; Magnoliopsida; Arecales; Arecaceae.